RNAcentral lists this ribosomal RNA (509 nucleotides) under uncultured bacterium. RNAcentral's name for it is "bacterial SSU rRNA". It matches the Rfam family "Bacterial small subunit ribosomal RNA", at positions 30 to 518 of the family's 1533-position model. The record is from RNAcentral.
AUUGAACGCUGGCGGCGUGCUUAACACAUGCAAGUCGAACGCGAAAGGGACUUCGGUCCUGAGUAAAGUGGCGCACGGGUGAGUAACGCGUGGAUAAUCUGCCCUUAUGAUCGGGAUAACAGUUGGAAACGGCUGCUAAUACCGGAUACGCUCAAAAUGAACUUUUUGAGGAAAGAUGGCCUCUGCUUGCAUGCUAUCACGUAAGGAUGAGUCCGCGUCCCAUUAGCUUGUUGGCGGGGUAACGGCCCACCAAGGCAACGAUGGGUAGCCGAUUUGAGAGGAUGAUCGGCCACACUGGAACUGAAACACGGUCCAGACUCCUACGGGAGGCAGCAGUGGGGAAUAUUGCGCAAUGGGCGAAAGCCUGACGCAGCGACGCCGCGUGAGGGGAAUGAAGGUUUUCGGAUCGUAAACCUCUGUCAGAAGGGAAGAAACUACGUUGUGCUAAUCAGCAGCGUACUGACGGUACCUUCAAAGGAAGCACCGGCUAACUCCGUGCCAGCCGCCGC